CCGCGGGGGGAGUACGGUCGCAAGAUUAAAWCUCAAAGGAAUUGRCGGGGACCCCCACAAGCGGUGCAUGAUGUGGAUUAAUUMGAUGCAACGMGAAAAWCCUUACCUACCCUUGUCAUGUSUGGAAACCCGAAGAGAUUUGUCCGUKCUCGCAAGAGARCCGCACACAGGUAUGGCAUGGCUGUCGUCAGGUCGUGUGGUGAGAGGUUGGGUUAAGUCCCGCACCGAGCCCAUCCCUUGUCAUUAGUUCAUUCACAAGAGCACUCUAAUGAGACUGCCGGUGACAAACCGGAGGAAGGUGGGGAUGACGUCAAGUCCUCAUGCCCCUUAUGGGUAGGGCUUCACACGUCAUACAAUGGUCGGGACAGAGGGUCGCCAGCCCGCGAGGGGAGCCAAUCUCAGAAAACCGAUCGUAGUUCGGAUCGCAGUCUGCAACUCGCCUGCCUGAAGUCGGAAUCGGUUAAGUAUUCCCGGGA
RNAcentral lists this ribosomal RNA (476 nucleotides) under Alcaligenes faecalis. RNAcentral describes it as "bacterial SSU rRNA". It matches the Rfam family "Bacterial small subunit ribosomal RNA", at positions 869 to 1349 of the family's 1533-position model. Lineage: Bacteria; Pseudomonadati; Pseudomonadota; Betaproteobacteria; Burkholderiales; Alcaligenaceae. The record is from RNAcentral.